This 1372-nucleotide ribosomal RNA is filed under the name uncultured bacterium. RNAcentral's name for it is "bacterial SSU rRNA". It matches the Rfam family "Bacterial small subunit ribosomal RNA", at positions 28 to 1381 of the family's 1533-position model. The record is from RNAcentral.
GAUGAACGCUGGCGGCGUGCCUAAUACAUGCAAGUCGAGCGAACGGACGAGAAGCUUGCUUCUCUGAUGUUAGCGGCGGACGGGUGAGUAACACGUGGAUAACCUACCUAUAGGACUGGGAUAACUUCGGGAAACCGGAGCUAAUACCGGAUAAUAUUUUGAACCGCAUGGUUCAAAAGUGAAAGACGGUCUUGCUGUCACUUAUAGAUGGAUCCGCGCUGCAUUAGCUAGUUGGUAAGGUAACGGCUUACCAAGGCAACGAUGCAUAGCCGACCUGAGAGGGUGAUCGGCCACACUGGAACUGAGACACGGUCCAGACUCCUACGGGAGGCAGCAGUAGGGAAUCUUCCGCAAUGGGCGAAAGCCUGACGGAGCAACGCCGCGUGAGUGAUGAAGGUCUUCGGAUCGUAAAACUCUGUUAUUAGGGAAGAACAUAUGUGUAAGUAACUGUGCACAUCUUGACGGUACCUAAUCAGAAAGCCACGGCUAACUACGUGCCAGCAGCCGCGGUAAUACGUAGGUGGCAAGCGUUAUCCGGAAUUAUUGGGCGUAAAGCGCGCGUAGGCGGUUUUUUAAGUCUGAUGUGAAAGCCCACGGCUCAACCGUGGAGGGUCAUUGGAAACUGGAAAACUUGAGUGCAGAAGAGGAAAGUGGAAUUCCAUGUGUAGCGGUGAAAUGCGCAGAGAUAUGGAGGAACACCAGUGGCGAAGGCGACUUUCUGGUCUGUAACUGACGCUGAUGUGCGAAAGCGUGGGGAUCAAACAGGAUUAGAUACCCUGGUAGUCCACGCCGUAAACGAUGAGUGCUAAGUGUUAGGGGGUUUCCGCCCCUUAGUGCUGCAGCUAACGCAUUAAGCACUCCGCCUGGGGAGUACGACCGCAAGGUUGAAACUCAAAGGAAUUGACGGGGACCCGCACAAGCGGUGGAGCAUGUGGUUUAAUUCGAAGCAACGCGAAGAACCUUACCAAAUCUUGACAUCCUUUGACAACUCUAGAGAUAGAGCCUUCCCCUUCGGGGGACAAAGUGACAGGUGGUGCAUGGUUGUCGUCAGCUCGUGUCGUGAGAUGUUGGGUUAAGUCCCGCAACGAGCGCAACCCUUAAGCUUAGUUGCCAUCAUUAAGUUGGGCACUCUAAGUUGACUGCCGAUGACAAACCGGAGGAAGGUGGGGAUGACGUCAAAUCAUCAUGCCCCUUAUGAUUUGGGCUACACACGUGCUACAAUGGACAAUACAAAGGGCAGCGAAACCGCGAGGUCAAGCAAAUCCCAUAAAGUUGUUCUCAGUUCGGAUUGUAGUCUGCAACUCGACUACAUGAAGCUGGAAUCGCUAGUAAUCGUAGAUCAGCAUGCUACGGUGAAUACGUUCCCGGGUCU